UACCAGACUCCUACGGGAGGCAGCAGUAGGGAAUUUUGCGCAAUGGGCGAAAGCCUGACGCAGCAACACCGCGUGAAUGUUAAGCCCUUCGGGGUGUAAAGUUCUGUCAAUAGGGACGAAUUUUGACUGUACCUAUAAAGGAAGCACCGGCUAACUCCGUGCCAGCAGCCGCGGUAAUACGGGGGGUGCAAGCGUUGUCCGGAAUCAUUGGGCGUAAAGCGUUCGUAGGCGGCAAGGUAAGUCUGAUGUUAAAGCCCGGGGCCCAACCCCGGGACUGCUCUUGGAACUGCGCGGCUGGAGUGCAGGAGGGGCAGGCGGAAUUCCUGGUGUAGCGGUGAAAUGCGUAGAUAUCAGGAGGAACACCGGUGGCGAAGGCGGCCUGCUGGACUGCGACUGACGUUGAGGCCCGAAAGCGUGGGGAGCAAACAGGAUUAGAUACCCCCGUAUU
This 448-nucleotide ribosomal RNA is filed under the name uncultured bacterium. RNAcentral describes it as "partial 16S ribosomal RNA". It matches the Rfam family "Bacterial small subunit ribosomal RNA", at positions 329 to 794 of the family's 1533-position model. The record is from RNAcentral.